UUCUUGCUCAAAUGAGUGUUCCACGUAAUUUAAUAUCCUAUCUUUUGGAUGGAUCAAUUUAUUUUAGUUUCGUCUGCAAAACUUCAGAAUUUUCAGAUGAUGUAACAUUAUCCCGAAAGCUGCUUUAAAUUCUUGGAAAUUUAUUGUGUUUUAG
Molecule: microRNA precursor, 154 nt
Filed under: Picea abies (Norway spruce)
Lineage: Eukaryota; Viridiplantae; Streptophyta; Pinopsida; Pinales; Pinaceae
Description: miR828 stem-loop (pab-MIR828)
Gene: pab-MIR828
Source: miRBase by way of RNAcentral